AUGUCUGUUCUGAAAUAUGUGGAGAAAGAAGGUAAAAAUGAAAAGAAAAGUCAGGCGCAUGGUCUUGUAGCAUAUUUUGAGACCUUUGAUUUUGUGUUUUAUUUGCACAUGAUGCUGCAUAUAUUAGGAAAUGCAAAUACUUUGUCACAUUCUUUACAAAAGAAGGAUCAAGACAUCCUAAAUGCCAUGUCAUGUGUCAAGUCCACAAGGAAUGAGCUACAAGAACUAAGGGAGAAUGGAUGGGACUCACUGAUACAGAAGGCAUAUUCAUUUUGUGAACAACAUCACAUUGAGAAGGCGGACAUGCUGGAGCAAUAUAUCAAUCGACACAAACCAAGACAAAAAACUAAUAAGACAAACCUCCAGCAUUACCGAGUAGAGUGUCUUAAUUCUGUUAUUGACUGGCAACUUCAAGAGUUUGAUGACCGUUUCAAUGAGGUAAAUUCUGCAUUACUUGGUCACAUGGCUUCUUUCAACCCAAACGAUGGAUUUGUUGCUUUUAAGUUGGAUAGCUUAGUGAAGCUAGCUGAGUUUUAUCCAGAUGAUUUUGAUUCAAAAAAAAAGGAUGAUCUUGGUCCUGAACUGCGCACUUACAUUGAUAAUGUGCGAGCGGAUGAAAGGUUUGCUAAUUUGGACGGGAUUGCUGAUCUUGCGAAGUUAAUGGUGCAGACAAAUAAACAUGUUACUUUUCCCUUGGUCUAUCAUCUUUUAAAGUUAGUAUUGAUAUUACCAGUUGCAACAGCAUCCGUGGAGAGAUGCUUUUCAGCUAUGAACGUUGUCAAGAAAAAGUUGCGCAACAAAAUUGGUGAUCAAUUCAUGAGUGAUUGUCUAAUUUGCUAUGUGGAGAAAGAGAUGUUUUCUCCCAUUAGUAAUGAUGCUGUGUUUGAUCUUUUUAAGGCAAUAAAAGAUCGAAAAGGGAAGCUCUAA
This 927-nucleotide ribosomal RNA is filed under the name Triticum aestivum (bread wheat). Its description in RNAcentral is "partial small subunit ribosomal RNA". Lineage: Eukaryota; Viridiplantae; Streptophyta; Magnoliopsida; Poales; Poaceae. The record is from RNAcentral.